GUGGGGAAUAUUGGACAAUGGGGGGAACCCUGAUCCAGCCAUGCCGCGUGUGUGAAGAAGGCCUUUUGGUUGUAAAGCACUUUAAGCGAGGAGGAGGCUACCGAGAUUAAUACUCUUGGAUAGUGGACGUUACUCGCAGAAUAAGCUCCGGCUAACUCUGUGCCAGCAGCCGCGGUAAUACAGAGGGUGCAAGCGUUAAUCGGAUUUACUGGGCGUAAAGCGCGCGUAGGUGGCCAAUUAAGUCAAAUGUGAAAUCCCCGAGCUUAACUUGGGAAUUGCAUUCGAUACUGGUUGGCUAGAGUAUGGGAGAGGAUGGUAGAAUUCCAGGUGUAGCGGUGAAAUGCGUAGAGAUCUGGAGGAAUACCGAUGGCGAAGGCAGCCAUCUGGCCUAAUACUGACACUGAGGUGCGAAAGCAUGGGGAGCAAACAGGAUUAGAAACCCGGGUAGUCC
RNAcentral lists this ribosomal RNA (451 nucleotides) under uncultured bacterium. RNAcentral's name for it is "partial 16S ribosomal RNA". It matches the Rfam family "Bacterial small subunit ribosomal RNA", at positions 354 to 796 of the family's 1533-position model. The record is from RNAcentral.